RNAcentral lists this ribosomal RNA (465 nucleotides) under uncultured bacterium. Its description in RNAcentral is "partial 16S ribosomal RNA". It matches the Rfam family "Bacterial small subunit ribosomal RNA", at positions 338 to 795 of the family's 1533-position model. The record is from RNAcentral.
CCUACGGGUGGCAGCAGUGGGGAAUAUUGCGCAAUGGGCGAAAGCCUGACGCAGCGACGCCGCGUGAGGGAUGAAGGUCUUCGGAUCGUAAACCUCUGUCAGCAGGGAAGAACGGUCACUGUGCUAAUCAGCAGUGAAUUGACGGUACCUGCAAAGGAAGCACCGGCUAACUCCGUGCCAGCAGCCGCGGUAAUACGGAGGGUGGGAGCGUUAAUCGGAAUUACUGGGCGUAAAGCUCUCGUAGGCGGUAUGUCAAGUCAAGGGUGAAAGCCCCGGGCUCAACGUGGGGACUGCCUUGGAAACUGGGAAACUGGAGUGUGGGAGAGGAGAGUGGAAUUCCAGGUGUAGGAGUGAAAUGCGUAGAGAUCUGGAGGAACACCAGUGGCGAAGGCGACUAUCUGGAACGUAACUGACGCUGAGGAGCGAAAGCGUGGGUAGCAAACAGGAUUAGAUACCCUUGUAGUC